This 550-nucleotide ribosomal RNA is filed under the name Aureobasidium pullulans. RNAcentral's name for it is "eukaryotic LSU rRNA". It matches the Rfam family "Eukaryotic large subunit ribosomal RNA", at positions 85 to 647 of the family's 3401-position model. Lineage: Eukaryota; Fungi; Ascomycota; Dothideomycetes; Dothideales; Saccotheciaceae. The record is from RNAcentral.
UACGGCGAGUGAAGCGGCAACAGCUCAAAUUUGAAAGCUAGCCUUCGGGUUUCGCAUUUGUAAUUUGUAGAGGAUGAUUUGGGGAAGCCGCCUGUCUAAGUUCCUUGGAACAGGACGUCAUAGAGGGUGAGAAUCCCGUAUGUGACAGGAAAUGGCACCCUAUGUAAAUCUCCUUCGACGAGUCGAGUUNGUUUGGGAAUGCAGCUCUAAAUGGGAGGUAAAUUUCUUCUAAAGCUAAAUAUUGGCGAGAGACCGAUAGCGCACAAGUAGAGUGAUCGAAAGAUGAAAAGCACUUUGGAAAGAGAGUUAAAAAGCACGUGAAAUUGUUGAAAGGGAAGCGCUUGCAAUCAGACUUGUUUAAACUGUUCGGCCGGUCUUCUGACCGGUUUACUCAGUUUGGACAGGCCAGCAUCAGUUUCGGCGGCCGGAUAAAGGCUCUGGGAAUGUGGCCUCCACUUCGGUGGAGGUGUUAUAGCCCAGGGUGUAAUACGGCCAGCCGGGACUGAGGUCCGCGCUUCGGCUAGGAUGCUGGCGUAAUGGUUGUAAGCGA